RNAcentral lists this ribosomal RNA (429 nucleotides) under Fusobacteriota bacterium. RNAcentral describes it as "Fusobacteria bacterium partial 16S ribosomal RNA". It matches the Rfam family "Bacterial small subunit ribosomal RNA", at positions 355 to 776 of the family's 1533-position model. The record is from RNAcentral. Lineage: Bacteria; Fusobacteriati; Fusobacteriota.
UGGGGAAUCUUCCGCAAUGGACGAAAGUCUGACGGAGCAACGCCGCGUGAGUGAAGACGGCCUUCGGGUUGUAAAGCUCUGUGAUCCGGGACGAAAGAGCCUGAGGUAAAUAGCCUAAGGAAGUGACGGUACCGGAAAAGCAAGCCACGGCUAACUACGUGCCAGCAGCCGCGGUAAUACGUAGGUGGCAAGCGUUGUCCGGAAUUAUUGGGCGUAAAGCGCGCGCAGGCGGCUUACUAAGUCCAUCUUAAAAGUGCGGGGCUUAACCCCGUGAUGGGAUGGAAACUGGAAAGCUGGAGUAUCGGAGAGGAAAGUGGAAUUCCUAGUGUAGCGGUGAAAUGCGUAGAGAUUAGGAAGAACACCGGUGGCGAAGGCGACUUUCUGGACGAAAACUGACGCUGAGGCGCGAAAGCGUGGGGAGCAAACAGG